GAUUUCAUCAGACAGGGCCAUGUUGUGCCCCCUUGGAUGGGGCAGGCACAUGCCGCCAGAUCUUGGCCAGCGUGACACCA
Molecule: transfer RNA, 80 nt
Filed under: Pelagimonas varians
Lineage: Bacteria; Pseudomonadati; Pseudomonadota; Alphaproteobacteria; Rhodobacterales; Roseobacteraceae
Description: tRNA-Pro
Source: RNAcentral